AUGGAACGUUAUCUCCAUAAAGGGUUACUCCACCGGCUUCAGGGGUUACAAACUCUCGUGGUGUGACGGGCGGUGUGUACAAAACCCGGAAACGUAUUCUCCGUACCAUGCUGAUUUACAAUGACUAGCGAUUCCUGUUUCAUGUAGUCUAGUUGCAGACUACAAUCCGAACUGAGAACAACUUUAUGGGAUUUGCUUGACCUCACGGUUUAGCUGCCCUUUGUAUUGUCCAUUGUAUCGCGUGUGUAACCAAAA
This 255-nucleotide ribosomal RNA is filed under the name Staphylococcus sp. HPC480. Its description in RNAcentral is "partial 16S ribosomal RNA". The record is from RNAcentral. Lineage: Bacteria; Bacillati; Bacillota; Bacilli; Caryophanales; Staphylococcaceae.